RNAcentral lists this transfer RNA (69 nucleotides) under Trachyrincus murrayi (roughnose grenadier). RNAcentral's name for it is "tRNA-Ala". It matches the Rfam family "tRNA". Rfam says of the family: Transfer RNA (tRNA) molecules are approximately 80 nucleotides in length. Their secondary structure includes four short double-helical elements and three loops (D, anti-codon, and T loops). Lineage: Eukaryota; Metazoa; Chordata; Actinopteri; Gadiformes; Macrouridae. The record is from RNAcentral.
GAAGUCUUAGCUUAAUUAAAGUAUCUGCUUUGCAUGCAGAAGAUGCGGAAUAAAACUUUGCAGAUUUUA